AACGUGUCUGGUUACGUCCGCCAGGGGUAGUCAGGUUCUCUCGCCAGCCGUCUGUGCCAACGGGUCAGGGACGGUCAGCUUGAGGGGGCCUUUUGUCUCGUCGGAUUUCCGCUGCCAGCAAGGAGCUGGGGUCUUGCCGGGUGGUGCCUCCCGACAUUGUCACGUGCGGCUUCGCGUGUGGAUGGAAGGGGGGCCCGAAGACUGGCAGGGCUUCAGCUAGCACCGCGAGACGGGCGCCUUUCACGUGUGCCGCCUCGGGCCACGCUGCCGUGCCUGCCCAGGCUUCUAGGGCUUGGCGUGGUCGGGGCUCGGCGCGCGGCUCGACUUAAGGCGCCCGGCUGAAACGCCUAGGUGGGCAAAUGGAGACCCGCCAAAGUGGCAUGAGAAUCUAACUAAAAAUU
This 401-nucleotide ribosomal RNA is filed under the name Retusa sp. DTLT2001. RNAcentral's name for it is "bacterial LSU rRNA". The record is from RNAcentral. Lineage: Eukaryota; Metazoa; Mollusca; Gastropoda; Cephalaspidea; Retusidae.